RNAcentral lists this ribosomal RNA (253 nucleotides) under uncultured bacterium. Its description in RNAcentral is "partial 16S ribosomal RNA". It matches the Rfam family "Bacterial small subunit ribosomal RNA", at positions 524 to 776 of the family's 1533-position model. The record is from RNAcentral.
GACGAACCGUGCGAACGUUGUUCGGAAUCACUGGGCUUAAAGGGCGCGUAGGCGGGUCAGCAAGUCAGGGGUGAAAUCCUGGAGCUCAACUCCAGAACUGCCUUUGAUACUGGCAACCUAGAGGCUGGAAGAGGUUAGUGGAAUUCCCAGUGUAGAGGUGAAAUUCGUAGAUAUUGGGAAGAACACCAGUGGCGAAGGCGGCUAACUGGUCCAGAUCUGACGCUGAGGUGCGAAAGCGUGGGGAGCAAACAGG